GCGGAAAUAGCUCAAUGGUAGAGUCCUGCCUUCCCAAGGCAGUUGUUGCGGGUUCGAAUCCCGUUUUCCGCUCCA
RNAcentral lists this transfer RNA (75 nucleotides) under Christensenellaceae bacterium. Its description in RNAcentral is "tRNA-Gly". It matches the Rfam family "tRNA". From Rfam's summary of the family: Transfer RNA (tRNA) molecules are approximately 80 nucleotides in length. Their secondary structure includes four short double-helical elements and three loops (D, anti-codon, and T loops). The record is from RNAcentral. Lineage: Bacteria; Bacillati; Bacillota; Clostridia; Christensenellales; Christensenellaceae.